GCACUUUAAGCAGUGAAGAAGACUCUUCGGUUAAUACCCGGAGACGAUGACAUUAGCUGCAGAAUAAGCACCGGCUAACUCUGUGCCAGCAGCCGCGGUAAUACAGAGGGUGCAAGCGUUAAUCGGAAUUACUGGGCGUAAAGGGAGCGUAGGUGGCUCGAUAAGUCAGAUGUGAAAUCCCCGGGCUUAACCUGGGAACUGCAUCUGAAACUGUAGAGCUAGAGUAUGUGAGAGGGAGGUAGAAUUUCAGGUGUAGCGGUGAAAUGCGUAGAGAUCUGGAGGAAUACCGAUGGCGAAGGCAGCCUUCUGGCAUAAUACUGACACUGAGGCUCGAAAGCGUGGGUAGCAAACAGGAUUAGAUACCCUGGUAGUCCACGCCGUAAACGAUGUCUACUAGUCGUUGG
Molecule: ribosomal RNA, 404 nt
Filed under: uncultured bacterium
Lineage: Bacteria
Description: bacterial SSU rRNA
Rfam family: Bacterial small subunit ribosomal RNA
Source: RNAcentral